AUUGAACGCUGGCGACAGGCCUUACACAUGCAAGUCGAGCGGCUGAACGGGGCUUGCCCCUUGAUUCCGCGUCGCGCGCGGGUGUGAUGUCUAGGAAAAUACCUGCUAGUGUGGGAGAACGUCCGGCGAAGGCCGCUAUUACCGCACACGCCAUGAGCGGGUAAGAGGGGGGUCUUUGCACCCCUCGCUCUCUGGUGAUCCUAGGUGGGGGAUUAGCUAGUUGGGGGGGUAAAGGCCUACCAAGGCGACGAUCAGUAGCUGGUCUGAGAGGAUGAUCAGUCACACUGGAACUGAGACACGGUCCAGACUCCUACGGGAGGCAGCAGUGGGGAAUUUUGGACAAUGGGCGAAAGCCUGAUCCAGCCAUGCCGCGUGUGUGAAGAAGGCCUUCGGAUUGUAAAGCACUUUUGGUUGGGAAGAAAGGCAGGAAGUUAAUACCUUCGGGGGUUGACGGUACCAAAAGAAUAAGCACCGGCUAACUACGUG
This 486-nucleotide ribosomal RNA is filed under the name uncultured bacterium. RNAcentral's name for it is "partial 16S ribosomal RNA". It matches the Rfam family "Bacterial small subunit ribosomal RNA", at positions 30 to 507 of the family's 1533-position model. The record is from RNAcentral.